GGCAACCAAACUCCCAUUGACAAUUAUGUCCCUAGACAUCCUCAAAGCCUUUGAUUGCUUGGAGUGGAAAUACAUAUUAGCAGUACUAACUAACAUGAAAUUUGGCCCCAACUUCCUACAAAUCCUCAAACAAAUAUACUCCCAAGCCUCAGCAAAAUGCAGAACUAACAAUAUGGAUUCUAACACUAUAGCUAUCCAAAGAGGCACGAAACAAGGAUGCCCACUGUCUCCCUUCUUAUUUAUCCUGGCUCUGGAACCCCUAGCAAUCCGCAUCCGAGCAGCCACAGACAUCAAGGGAGUGGAAAUAAAAGGCAGAACCUAUAAAUUAGGGCUCUUUGCAGAUGACCUAAUGGUCACAACACCAGACCCCAUAAGCACAGCAACCUCCCUAAUCAGAGAACUCAACACAUUUGCAAUGGUGUCGGGCCUACAGGUAAAUUUUACAAAGUCAGAAGCUAUGUGCUUCAACACCCCUCCUCACACCCAAAAAGAACUCACGAAGGUCACCAAAAUAAAACUUUGCCACACCAAGUUCAGAUACCUAGGGGUACAAAUAACCAGAAACCUCAAUAAAUUGUACCUCCACAACUACAAGCCCCUGUGGCGACAAAUUAACAAAGACCUAAAGAGAUGGAAUAACAUGAACUUCACUCUCUCAGACAAAAUAGCCAUGAUCAAAAUGAUCACACUCCCAAAACUAACCUACCUAUUCCAAACCCUCCCAAUCUGGAUCCCCUCAACCCAACUUCGCAGUUGGCAGAGAAAACUACACUCUUUCAUCUUCUCACAUAAAAAACCAAGAAUAAGCCCCAAAUACCUGCACCUCCCCACCUCAGAAGGAGGAUGGGGAAUCCCCAACAUAGAAGCAUAUUACAAUGCCAACCAAAUACGCCACAUAAUCCCAUAUAUACUAGAAGAUGAGACAAAACAAUGGGUACACCUAGAGAGGGACACAAUUGAAAACACCUGCACCACAACAUACCCACUCCUCCCAAACAAACUAAAGAAAAUUCCCACAACACUUAACAGGUACACACAGACCAUGCUCAAAGCAUGGAAAACACAAAUAGGCAAACUAUCCCCAACCCCAUCCCCACUAAUCCCCUGGCGUACCACCCAUUAUUCCACCGUGCAGCACAAAACCUCAAGAUAAAAACCUGGCGAACCAAAGGCUUAUAUCGCCUAAUAGACUUUUAUAAAAAUAACAAACCCUUGUCAACACAAGAAAUACAAGACAAACUAGAAGACACCCAAAUGCCCUGGUUAACACAACACCAACUUCAUGCCCUCUUAAACAACCCAACAGUAAAAUCAGCAGCAACUAGGCCCCUGACAACCUUCGAAAACCUCCUCCUAACAACAAAGGGAAACGGUAAAGGGACGGUAUCCGCAAUAUACAAAAUACUACUCCAAAAUCCUGUAAAUCCCCUAGACGCAAUC
RNAcentral lists this long non-coding RNA (1440 nucleotides) under Podarcis lilfordi (Lilford's wall lizard). Lineage: Eukaryota; Metazoa; Chordata; Lepidosauria; Squamata; Lacertidae. The record is from RNAcentral.